RNAcentral lists this long non-coding RNA (350 nucleotides) under Homarus americanus (American lobster). RNAcentral describes it as "uncharacterized LOC121864041, transcript variant X2". The record is from RNAcentral. Lineage: Eukaryota; Metazoa; Arthropoda; Malacostraca; Decapoda; Nephropidae.
UUCAGCAGUUGAAGGAGGUGGUUCACAUUCACGUAGGGGACACACAGCCAGAAAUAUGACAAGAAAUCUCAGAAGAGGCGUCAUCUACCUCACUGGUCUCGCAUGUGUGUGUCUUGUUGGCCUCGUGUUGGUGAUGGAUGGUGAAGGUAAACAUGAUAAUUACCAAACUUUGAAGUACGACCACCAGGUAACAGACGACCUCAACGAGAACCAGACAUCCUUCAAAGCCGUUAACCACCAAGUAAUCAACGACCACCAACCACAAAGGGAAGUGAACGACCACCAAUCACCACACGACCACAACGACCACCAACCACCACACGAUCACAACAACCAACAACCACGACACG